RNAcentral lists this ribosomal RNA (601 nucleotides) under Methanobrevibacter smithii. RNAcentral describes it as "bacterial SSU rRNA". It matches the Rfam family "Archaeal small subunit ribosomal RNA", at positions 321 to 916 of the family's 1478-position model. The record is from RNAcentral. Lineage: Archaea; Methanobacteriati; Methanobacteriota; Methanobacteria; Methanobacteriales; Methanobacteriaceae.
CCCUACGGGGUGCAGCAGGCAGCGAAACCUCCGCAAUGUGAGAAAUCGCGACGGGGGGAUCCCAAGUGCCAUUCUUAACGGGAUGGCUUUUCAUUAGUGUAAAGAGCUUUUGGAAUAAGAGCUGGGCAAGACCGGUGCCAGCCGCCGCGGUAACACCGGCAGCUCUAGUGGUAGCAGUUUUUAUUGGGCCUAAAGCGUCCGUAGCCGGUUUAAUAAGUCUCUGGUGAAAUCCUGCAGCUUAACUGUGGGAAUUGCUGGAGAUACUAUUAGACUUGAGAUCGGGAGAGGUUAGAGGUACUCCCAGGGUAGAGGUGAAAUUCUGUAAUCCUGGGAGGACCGCCUGUUGCGAAGGCGUCUGACUGGAACGAUUCUGACGGUGAGGGACGAAAGCUAGGGGCGCGAACCGGAUUAGAUACCCGGGUAGUCCUAGCUGUAAACGAUGCGGACUUGGUGUUGGGGUGGCUUUGAGCUGUCCCAGUGCCGAAGGGAAGCUGUUAAGUCCGCCGCCUGGGAAGUACGGUCGCAAGACUAGAAACUUAAAGGAAUUGGCGGGGGAGCACCCACAAACGCCGUGGAGCCUGCUGGUUUAAUUGGAUUCACG